GCGAGCGGCGGAUGGGUGAGUAACACGUGGGGAACCUGCCCCUAAGUCUGGGAUACCAUUUGGAAACAGGUGCUAAUACCGGAUAAUAAAGCAGAUCGCAUGAUCAGCUUUUGAAAGGCGGCGUAAGCUGUCGCUAAGGGAUGGCCCCGCGGUGCAUUAGCUAGUUGGUAAGGUAACGGCUUACCAGGGCGACGAUGCAUAGGCGAGUUGAGAGACUGAUCGGCCACAUUGGGACUGAGACACGGCCCAAACUCCUACGGGAGGCAGCAGUAGGGAAUCUUCCGCAAUGGACGCAGGUCUGAUGGAGCAACGCCGCGUGAGUGAAGAAGGUUUUCGGAUCGUAAAGCUCUGUUGUUGGUGAAGAAGGAUAUAGGUAGUAACUGGCCUUUAUUUGACGGUAAUCAACCAGAAAGUCACGGCUAACUACGUGCCAGCAGCCGCGGUAAUACGUAGGUGGCAAGCGUUGUCCGGAUUUAUUGGGCGUAAAGCGAGCGCAGGCGGAAAAAUAAGUCUAAUGUGAAAGCCCUCGGCUUAACCGAGGAACUGCAUCGGAAACUGUUUUUCUUGAGUGCA
RNAcentral lists this ribosomal RNA (573 nucleotides) under uncultured bacterium. RNAcentral describes it as "bacterial SSU rRNA". It matches the Rfam family "Bacterial small subunit ribosomal RNA", at positions 91 to 650 of the family's 1533-position model. The record is from RNAcentral.